UGUGGGAAAAUGGAUAAAUCCCUUUGACUCAUAAUCAGAGGGUCCGGGGUUCGAGUCCCUGUGGGCCCA
RNAcentral lists this transfer RNA (69 nucleotides) under Bacteroidota bacterium. RNAcentral's name for it is "Bacteroidetes bacterium (groundwater metagenome) tRNA-Met". It matches the Rfam family "tRNA". Rfam says of the family: Transfer RNA (tRNA) molecules are approximately 80 nucleotides in length. Their secondary structure includes four short double-helical elements and three loops (D, anti-codon, and T loops). Lineage: Bacteria; Pseudomonadati; Bacteroidota. The record is from RNAcentral.